Molecule: non-coding RNA, 2233 nt
Organism: Sus scrofa (pig)
Lineage: Eukaryota; Metazoa; Chordata; Mammalia; Artiodactyla; Suidae
Source: RefSeq, a predicted model, not a curated record
AACCUUGUUUUAUGUGUGUUUGUGUUUAAAGACACCUAUUUAAUAUAUAUUGUUGAUUGAUUAGCAUUGAAUUUGCAGCCCACAGCACUAUAACUCAUGCCCGAAUGAAGCUUGCCUAACACAUGUAUUUUCCUGAAAGAUACAUCACCACCUGCUUGCAUUUUGGAACUCUAGACAGCCCGUCAUCACUGUGCUUGCGGAUCAUUUAAAAAUUCCCAACAGGAGUUCCCGUUGUAGCUCAGCUGGUUAAGAACCUGACUAGUAUCCAUGAGGAUUCGGGUUCAAUCCCUGGCUCUCAGCGGGUGGAGGAUAUGGCUUUGCCAUGAGCUGCAGUGGAGGUUGCAGAUGCAGCUCGGAUCGGGCAUGGCUGUGGCUGUGGCAUAGGUCGGCGGCUAUAGCUCCAAUUCGGCCCCAACCUGGCAACUUCCAUGUGCUGUGAGUACAGCCCUAAAAAGCAAAAAAAAAAAAAAAAAAAAAAAUUUAAAUCCCCAACAAAAAAAAACACAUCAACAAUGAAAAAUAUGGCAUUAAAUAGACCAUGGACAGUAUCCUUGCUUAUAGUAUAAGAGCUGAAACAAGAGGGCAGAGCAUGACCUCGUUUGACCUCAACUGGGAACACAGGCAUCGGGCAUCCUGCAGCCCAGAUUUUUCUCAGCAGCAGGCACACGUCCGGGGAUGACUGUAAGAGAACCUGCUGAGGAUUGAUUUUGAGGUUACAAAUAAAUUUUAGCAAGGUGGUGAAAUUUGCAAACACGGAAUCUGCGAACAGUGCAGAUCAGCUCUCCACGGUGAACCUCUCUCUCGCUCCACUGCCAUCCCCUCGUCCACGGGUCAGCAGACUUCCUCUAAAGGGCCAGGGAGUAGAUGCUUUAGGCUUUGCAGGCCAAAUGGCUGGUGUCACAGUGGCUCAGCUCUGCUGUGGUACCAAAAGCAGCUGUAGACAAUACAUAAAUGAGGCGGCGGGGCUGUGUUCCAGUAAAGCUCUAUUUUCAAAAAACAGGCCCUGGGCUGGGUUUGGCUCUCAGGCUGUCGUUUGGACCCUGGUAACCUGGUCUAACUUACCUCUGUGUCUCACCCGCACUGCCCGCCUGAGCUGCCGCCCACAUCCAUUCUGGAGCUUCCAGCUGAUUUCCUUGUGGAUUUUAAGGGUAACUUAGGUCUAAUCAUUCUCCCACUUACGAUGUCCAGCCACUUCCCAGCACACGUGGACUAGAAUUCCACACGGCGACAGCACGGCCCCAGCUUAUUUCCGCAGUCUCACUGUGGGUCACCUUUCCCCUUUGCCCCAUCCUGGCCUCUUCCAGCGUGUGGCUGUCCCCUGCGGUUUCCUGCUUCAGCACCUUUGCACACCAUCUCCCUGCUUGGAAUGUGUGCAUGCCCUCUGCCCGGCCAGCUCCCGCUCACUCAGCAGUCACACGGAAGUGACAUUUGUCACUUCCUCCCGUGUAAAUUAGAUGGCACUCCUCUGAUCUCAGGGCACCCCAUGCUCUUCCUUCGGGACGCUUGGAGUGGUCAGGGCCCAGGUGCUCAGGUGUGUCUCUUUUCCAUCCCCACCCCCACCCCCCGCCGCCCCUGCGUCAGCUGCCGGCUCCGGGAGGAGAGGAGCCAGGGACACAGCGUCUUGUCUGCUCAUGUUGCCUUCACACACUUGGUAGACCUGGCCUAAAACUUGUGGAAUCAGUAAGUGAUUGUACACAGCAAACUUUCGUUCAUACAGAUCUUUGUAUGAAGCUACAAUACAGAAACCGGGAGAAGUCACCCUCUUAGAGCCUCUAGUCUGCCUAGUCAGUUUCAGAAUGAUGAUUAAAGAGAAGACCCAUCGUGACAACAGAGUCUCUCCCUAACGGAAGGGGCCAGCUGUCCUUAGAAGCCCUCGUCUUCUAGACCUUCCUGAGGGCGCCGUGGCGCUGGAUUCUUCAACCCCUGCAUUUCCUGUUUCUAGGGAUGGGUUCAAGUUCGUUUUGGGCUGAGGUGAUUCUGGGCACUUCUUCCACCUUCCAGGGACCCAGCAUUAACAAAGCCCGGGUUGACCCCUGGAUGAGGGUUAUGGCAGCCUUGGACCUUCUGCCAGGCAGUUUCAUUCCCCCCACUUGACACCAAAAAGUGAUCUUUGAGGUGUAACUUUGAGCGACUCACCACUUACUGAAUGCUUUUAGCACCAAAUGAUAAUUAUUGCCUGAACUUACGUGUAUUCGUUGGGUUUUAAUAAAACAGUGUUUUUCUAAAUCUUUCA